Molecule: long non-coding RNA, 6210 nt
Organism: Culex pipiens pallens (northern house mosquito)
Lineage: Eukaryota; Metazoa; Arthropoda; Insecta; Diptera; Culicidae
Exons: 2
Source: RefSeq, a predicted model, not a curated record
GUAAAUUUGAAAUAUUUGGUUCUAAUUUGAAAUAUGCCGUUUUGAUCACUUGAUCACAAAUCGAAUGUAAUCCAAUGAGUAGUUCUCUAUAAUCUCGCAAUUUUUUUCGCAACUUAUAAGUCUUCAUUUUUGAUUUGGAUAAAACUUGGAUCCAGUGAUGGAAUAAUCGCAAAACAAUCACUUUCGCUUGCGAACUUUUUUCACCCGCGAAAGAAAGAGGUGGCAAAUCACGCAAAAGAAAAUCGCUCCCGAAUUGAAUGAAUUUCCUUGUCAGCACCACUUAAAAUUAUUUUUUUCGCUUUGUUUACACACAUUGCCCACCUACAAAAUGUGACAGGUCAAUUUCCGACGUGUAACGUUACACUUGCAAGUGUAGUAGUGAAAAAGAUAUUCCGCUGAAUAAUCAAGAUGAUGACUUUUUUAGCGAUCUUUCGUGCGCGAGAGAGGAGAGCAUGCUCCCUUCGGAUUUUUUCUCUUGAUGAACAUCCAAUGAUUUUCUUUUGAUGAUGAUUAUUCCAUCGCUGCUUGGAUCAUGCUUUUCCUAUUUCAAAAGAGGGAUUUCUGCAUCAUUCGUUUUUCCAUGCAAUUCUCCAUACAAUUUUUGGGCCUAGUAAUACAAAAUCGAUGUGAUGAGAAGGGAUUUUGUGAUCGAUUUGGUGUCUUCGGCAAUGUUGUAGGAUAUAAAGGAUUAGGAUUAGAAUAUUUCAGAUAUUUUGUAAUUUGGUCUAACCAAUAAAUUUUUCAGAAAAUUUUACACAAAUUUCAUUUCUUUACACUGAAAUCGAACAAAUAGUUUCUGAGAUAUUUUUAGUUGAAAAUUACAAGCUGAUUAAGUAAUACUUAAAAUAAAUCAUUUUCAUCGAUUCGAAUUCUUUGUGUGGCUGUAUCUCAAAAACGAACUACCCGAUUUUUUAAAUUUUAGAGGCAACAUUGUAGGAAAAUUCCUCAGCUCUUUAAAAAUAUAUUUUGCUUUAAAAAUAUUUUUUUAAAGGUUUUUGAUUUUUCAAAAAAAAAACUCUUUAAAAAAAUCAUAUCUCCUAAUCCAUAUUUUGCCCCAUUACGUACUAUGGCUCAAAAUAUGUCUUUUUUAGCUCACUAAAACAUAUCAACAAAUUUCGAAAAAAAUGUGCAAUGGGAAGAAAAAGUUAAAUAAAAAGAUCGGAAAGUAUUUCUUUAUCGGUUUGGCUAUUUUUUCCACAAUAUUCAAAUAACCUACAACUUUGCCGAAGACACCAAAACGAUCAGAAAAUACCCUCUCUAGAUAUAGAAUUUAAUAGAUUUACAUACCUAUUUUGUAUUACCUGUCCCCAUAAUUGUAUGGAAACUAGUUAUGCAAAAUGGUAUGCAAAUUCUAGUUAUGCAAAAUAACUACUUUUGACAUACAAAUGAAAAAAUACAAAGAAAAGUCAAUUUGCACUAAAAUAUUAUGUUAUUGUAUCAAAUCUUAUUGAAGUGUUGCAAAAAAGAAAUGAAGUUCAAAAUAUCAUUUACAUUCUCGAUAUUUCAAAAGAGUCAAAACAUAGAAAAAAUAUGCAGGUUUCUAGCAAUUUUUACAUAAACUCUAACAUAAAACUUGCACAAAAAGCAUUCCAAUUAUGAAAAGAGUGUUAAAUUAAACUAAUUCAAGAGUUCUUACAUGCUGUCGUAUGAAACCUCUACUAAAAUUAAAGGUACAAGAUUUCAAGUUCAAACAUUUCAAACAAUUUUUAUUUACACAUUACAAAAACCACAAUAAUAUCAAAAGCAAGCCAAUCCGCCCACAGCCAACAACGAAACAAAAAUCGAGCCAGUUAACAAACCCAUCAUCUUCCACAAACAUACAUUGUAGCUAAUUUAUUCGCAUAGAUUUUACUACCUAGGACACGUUGAUUAGCGUAAAUGUUAGAAAUACUGUUACACUGUACAUAAGAGUUUAGCGAGAAAAAAAAAAUCCCAGAAACAAGUGCAAUUAUAAAACAAUGACAACAAACCCGAACAAAUCCCAAACUAGCACGUAAGCGAAGGCGCAGAGGCAACCACCACCAAGUGAUAUCAACCGCGAGUUCAUUUUUAAAAGAAAAGUGAGCGCGAGUUGAAACGAAGCGAGAUUUUGUUUCCCUUUAAAAAAAAACUGUUGAAUAGUUAGCCAGAUUUUUAGCCAAGUUUCGUUGUUUUAAGUGUUUUAGUGUAGGUUUUAGUUUAGUUUAGAAGGAAAAGUGAGCCAGUUUAGUGUGUAAAUUUUGUGUUUUAAGUGUUUAGUUUUGUUAAGAUGUACAAUGGAACCUGAGUACGCCAGUAAUAGUGUCAAAUGAGGGAGGUAAAAAGAUGGAAAAAGCGCCAGUAUUUUGUUAAGGUUGUUUUAGAAACAUUUUAAAAGUAAACGGAAUUACAGCCAGCCAGUGUUAUUGUUGAAGGAAGUUUUUUUUUGCUAGAAGAAUUUUAUAGAAGUAAAAUGUUUGCCGUUUUUAUAAGACAACACUUUUUGAAGUUAUUUCGCUGCAAAGGAGAGAAUAAAAAUUUUACAGUUGAAAAAAGAAAAGUCGAGUUGUUUGUUUUUUUUUGUGUGUUUUAUUACCUUUUUAUUUUACUUUUGUCCAAAGCAUUUUUAUAAUAGAAUGUGUAGUUUUAAUAGCAUGUUUGUUUUUUUCUGUUUCCAUCUUGUAUAUAUACUAUUCUUUUUUGUUGUUGUUCUUUUUUUUCUUUUGUUUUUUGUUUGUUUUAUUUUAGUGUACCUUUAUGUUCAAUAAAUAAUGGUAUAAUAGUUUCUUUUUCAUCCUUUUCCAUCCCUUUUUUUUCUUGCUUUAUAUAUAAUGCUUUUCAGCUGCACGCCAAUGUUUUUUUAGUAGCUUUCCGGCGAAUGUGUCAAAACAGCCCUGCGUUCCAAUGGUUGUUGUUAAAUGGGGUUUACUAUUCCCGCUUUCAAUUUUCUCAUAACUCAUAGCAGCUUGCACGCCUUAAAUUGUUUGUAAGGAUUAUAUGCUUCAAUUAUAUCUUGCAAAUAUAGAUUUUUUUUUUUGUUUUGUUUUCAUGUCAGCUUGUUUCCUUAAAUACCACUUUUUAGAUGUCUUUCCGUUUUUUGGUUUUGCUUCUUUCUCGAGAAAAUUUAAAUAUGCAUUUUGUUCCAUUUAUAAAUACUUUUACACUUUUUUUUGCGGGGGGUUUCACCACUUUUCUUCUUUCUUAUUUUGGGGAGAGUGUGACAAUAAUUAGCUUACGCACAUUUUUUUCUUCUGUUUGAAUUGUUGUUUCCAACUGUGAGUUGUAGUAUUAUGCAGCCGGUAGAGAGUGAGGAACAAAUAUGUUUGGGGACAACAAAGUUAGGCGUUUCUUUUCAAACGUUCUCGCCAACAUAAGGAUCAGUGUGAAAGGGGGUUCUUUUUCGCAUUUUUUUUUUUGCUGGUGAAAAUUUCACUAUUGCUAUACACCUAGAGAAUGAGUUAUGUUUUGUUACACUUUUGUUUUUUAUUCGGUAAUUAUAAUAGUUUAGAGAGCAGUUGUGUGUGUGUUUUUUAGAAGAAACUUUCAAUAAAAAAUGGAAUGUAAUUCUGACCGCGAUGCCCUUCCUAGAAAAACGAAACACGUGAAAGGCUUUCACUCUUCUGCGAAAAGAGUGCAGUUUGCUUUUCACUUUGCAACGUUUUCAAAGCUGGAAGAUGCCACUCCAGAAUCUUAGCAUAAAGAAAGUGACAUUAAAUGCGUCACUUUAUGCAAGAUUCACCAACUUUAACCCUUUUCAUUCCAACAAAAUUUACAGAAAAUUAAUUUUUUAACAAUAAUUUGAGUUAAAAUCACAUUCACAAGACUCUUUUUUGUGUGUUAUUGUGUGUGUUUUCUAUUUGCCUCUACUCGAGUUUACUGCCUAUCCGUGUUCCAUUUAUUAGCCCUCAGCACUUGCUUUUUUGUUUAAACUAAUCUUUGGUACGUUUGCUUCUACUUAAACAAACUUAAAAGUAAAAAAAUCUCGAACCUAAAAUUAAAACUUGAACGAAAUCGAAUCACCUCUUCUUUCCAAUUGGAAGCAAUUUUUACUUCAAUCGUGUGCGGAUCUGCUUUACCGACGCGAAGCGAUCACGUUCGCGCGCUCGAACGCUUGCUUUGCGCAGCGCAAACGGUUCAGAGAGAGCCAACUUGGUUGAUUGGGGGCAUUCAAAGGCUACGUAACGCAAUUUAAGAUGUAAAUGUAGAAAUUUGUUUAAAAUUGCUGUGUGGCUGAUGGAAAAUUUAGAUUUAAAAAAUUAGCGUUUGAUUCAUCGUUACGUAAUGCUCAACCGACCCACAAAGACUGUUGUAGGGUUCCAUUGCAUCGCUAGAACUCAAACUGAAGCUUGUUUUGCGACACGUUGAAGUGCGAAGCAUCUUUUCACUUUGGAUAUUGCGCAUUUUGCACUUCUCUAGAGUCCUGCGCAAUUAUUUUCAUCACAGUAUCUUUUGAUCACAGUGAUUUUUCAUCACACUUCCAACCGUAACCAUGGAAAAGUUGUUUUUGUUUGUAGCUGAUUUGUUUUUCAAAGUCAGAAAAGUUUUAUUCCAUUCAGAUAUUUUGGACGGAUAUUCUAGAUAAAAGGGACCUGUUUCAUCGUUUCGUGAAGUCCUAUUUAAGGGUGAUGACACAAAUUUCACCAAACACUGCUCAGAUUACACAGUUCCAUUGAAAAAUGAAACUGGAUUUUCCCCAUGUGUGUUAAGAUCGAGCACCUCUGCUAAACAUUAUGCUACGGUUAAUGCGAGAAUGUUCACAGUUCUUAGCAGAUUUGUGUAGUUUAUUGUAUAAAUAAUAAAACAAUGUCCCUCCAGUUUAGAAUUUAUUGACCGUUGGGAUUAUGCACGUCGUCAUGAUGAAGAAAUUUGUCCAAAUUUUAGUUGAAGAGAUCUAGGUGUAAGAAGACAAUUACGACUACUUGUUCCGGCUAUGGAAUUCUGGUCUUCGGUGCCGGGAAGUAGCUAUGUUCGUGCCGGCAUCUUGGCUUACGGCGGUUCCUCGUCAGCUUGCCGGACGGAUGAUGAAAAACGGAUGAGAUGGACUGAUGCUCGGAAUUUCGUCGUUGAAGAGGGCGAUUGGUUACCCCUUUCGUUACCCUGCAGCUUUUCCAAUCUUCCAAUGCCAUUUAGGGCUGUAAACUUUUGUAAUAAUGUAAUAAUGAUAAAUAUACAGAUUUCUUUCGUCCACAAUUUAUGGUUUUUUUCCACAAUAUUGUUGAAUUUAUAGCCAAUUCCACGUAAAUUUAAUAAACCAUCACCCAAAAUUCGGCAGCAAUCGUCCGAGAAAAUCAUGGCCUCCAGUCGUGAGAAUAAUGGUACCGUUUACGGACUCAUCGAACACAGCUCGAAGUGGCCGAUAGAAUUAUGCCCUCGAGCUCAUUAGAAAAAAAAUAACCCGUCAAAAAAACUCAAAAGUUCCAACUACGAGAAUCGAACCAGGAACCUUUAACCGACCAUUUCAAUGACUUAACUGCCUCGGCUACCACAGCUUGGUGAAUAGAUUGUGGUCAGAAGUCGAUGCAUUACAGUUGUUUUGUGUUGAUGGUGUGAUGGAAAAUCAAUUUGCCAACUGUGAUGAAAAUUAUUCCGCAGCACUCUAGCGCGGUGCAAAGUGCGCAAAGUUGACAGUUCUCAGUCCUGCAAAGCAGUGUGAUGAAAAAAUCUAGGCCUAGCACGAUUGACACAAAACUCUAGGAAUUGCUGCAAGGCGCAAUAAAACUUUUGAUUAUCUUAAAAAAGCACACUAUGACAAAAUUGAUUGUCCUUUAAAGCUAGCUAGAGAUUUAAUUUUAGGCAGAGAUCAACAACAAUUGAAGUAAAAACAGCUUGCAAUUACUUAUUUUUUCUCCUAUUUACAAUGGUCAGUAUCUUCUAAACAACUUAAACAAUAGAGAAACAACAAAAGCCAAAAUUCUUGCUUCCUUAGCCUCUUAACGAAAGAUAUUUCCAUAUCAAUUCGCGACCUGAUCGCACCGUUCAAAAUAAUAACCGUAGCGUUCAAUAUUUACAAAUUUUGAAGAUUCUCACCCCACUUUUCCGGGAGAUUCCAACAUUCCGAUUCAACGCGUCCUUGAUGCCGCUAGCAAAAAGCGAUUGUGAAGCAAUAGUGUAUUCCUUAUUCUCCUCUCCUCUAAAUCGUUUUUAAACUUUGAAGCGUGUGUGUGUGUGGUUUUGCGGUUGUUAAACGUGAUACAAUUGCCUAUUGCGCCCUUAGAGCGACUCCUUGGGAAUCCACGGCGGCGCCUUAAAAUA